RNAcentral lists this ribosomal RNA (296 nucleotides) under Chloromonas sp. CCCryo192-04. Its description in RNAcentral is "partial 18S ribosomal RNA". It matches the Rfam family "Eukaryotic small subunit ribosomal RNA", at positions 1538 to 1831 of the family's 1831-position model. Lineage: Eukaryota; Viridiplantae; Chlorophyta; Chlorophyceae; Chlamydomonadales; Chlamydomonadaceae. The record is from RNAcentral.
GGCCCGGGGUAAUCCUAGCAAACGCAUCGUGAUGGGGGAUAGAAUUAUUGCAAUUAUUAGUCUUCAACGAGGAAAUGCCUAGUAAGCGCAAGUCAUCAGCUGCGUUGAUUACGUCCCUUGCCCUUUGUACACACCGCCCGUCGCUCCUACCGAUUGGGUGUGCUGGUGAAGUGUCCGGAUUGGGUUCAGCUGAUGGCAACAUCGGCUGUUUCUAAGAAGGUCAUUAAACCCUCCCACCUAGAGGAAGGAGAAGUCGUAACAAGGUUUCCGUAGGUGAACCUGCGGAAGGAUCAUUG